CCUACGGGUGGCAGCAGUAGGGAAUAUUGCUCAAUGGGGGAAACCCUGAAGCAGCAACGCCGCGUGAAGGAUGAAGGUUUUAGGAUUGUAAACUCCUUUUGUUAGAGAAGAUUAUGACGGUAUCUAACGAAUAAGCACCGGCUAACUCCGUGCCAGCAGCCGCGGUAAUACGGAGGGUGCAAGCGUUACUCGGAAGCACUGGGCGUAAAGAGUGCGUAGGGGGGGUAAUAAGUCAGAGGUGAAAUCCUGUAGCUUAACUACAGAACUGCCGUUGAAACUGUUACUCUGGAGUGUGGGAGAGGUAGGUGGAAUGCGUGGUGUAGGGGUAAAAUCCGUAGAGAUCAAGAAGAAUACUGAUUGCGAAGGCGGCCUGCUGGAACAUUACUGACGCUGAUGCACGAAAGCGUGGGGAGCAAACAGGAUUAGAUACCCUUGUAGUC
This 440-nucleotide ribosomal RNA is filed under the name uncultured bacterium. RNAcentral describes it as "partial 16S ribosomal RNA". It matches the Rfam family "Bacterial small subunit ribosomal RNA", at positions 338 to 795 of the family's 1533-position model. The record is from RNAcentral.